AUGACAUAUUUACAAUCAAUUGGGGAAGUAAUUGGCUUCCUGUUAUUGUCAACCUUCUCGAUAUUGGAUGGCAUUAUCAAGUCAUUCAUUCCCAAGAAGUAUAAAAUGAAGAAUAUAGGUGGCGAAAUUGCCCUGGUGACAGGAGGAGGUGGAGGAUUGGGGAGGCUUCUUUCCCUCAGGCUGGCCAACUUAGGCGCCAUCGUAAUUAUUUGGGAUAUAAACGAGAUCGGCAUUGAGGAAACUGUUAAACUUGUUCGGGCGGCCGGAGGUACGUGUUAUGGCUACGUUUGCGACUUGUGCGAUCGAACAGACAUAUAUAAAAAGGCUAAAAUUAUCAGAGAAGAGAUCGGCAAGGUAACGGUUCUUAUCAAUAAUGCGGGCAUCGUUACGGGAAUGAAAUUUCUGGACACUCCGGACGAAUUUAUUAUCAGGACGAUGGACGUUAAUAUUAUGAGCCACUUUUGGACUGUAAAAGCUUUUCUUCCAACGAUGCUGGAAAACAAUAAAGGACAUAUCGUGAGCGUGGCCAGUUUAGCCGGUCAAUGCGGGAUUCCAAAAUUGAUAGACUAUUGUGCAUCUAAAUUUGCGGCAAUCGGAUUUGAUGAAGCUCUUCGAAUGGAACUUGAGUACGAAGGGUACAACAUCAACACAACAGUUGUAUGUCCUUAUUUUAUCCGCAGUACCGGCAUGUUCGAUGAUGUUCAAUCAAGAUACAUCCCGACUCUAAGUCCAAAUGCUGUAGCCGAUAGAAUAAUAAUGGCGAUGAGGUGUAACGAAAAGUAUGCCAUCAUUCCAGGCUACUUACAAAUUUUGCUUACUUUAAAGUGGAUAUUUCCAUGGCCAUGUGUCGCCAUGUUUCUUCGUGGAUUAGUAAGAGACGCUUCGCCAAGCCAUGAAAAUAACAAAUCAUAUGUAGUUGCGACUGCGACUAUCGCGGAAAAGGAAUGUAUCGUACCGUCAUCAAAGGAUCAAAACGUCGCUGCCAUUCAUCAACAAUUAGCUAGACGUAUCUCUAGCCCCGAAAGAAAACCUUGAACUUUUCUUACUCCGUCUCGGUUUUAAUAUCGAUCUAGAAUGUUAAAAUUUUGUUAAAAGGUUAGAGUUUUCUGUCUUCCUACUAUGUCUACCUUGCAGCUCUUCAUAUGUUUCAAUCUUUUACAUUGUUUUAAUGAAAUAAAUCGCUUAAUAUGUUUCUAGUGUCAGUGUUGAAUAAAAAUACUACCCAUUUCGACGAGUAGAAUUGCGCAGAGUUUCUCUUUUUUCAAGUUUCUUAUAGCUGCGCCUUCAGUAAUCGAUUAUUCGCAGGAAGAAAAGGAAAUGUGAAGAAAGUGCAUCUCAAUCUAUUAAAAAAUUGGAUAACAUCUUUGUUCUUGAUGUAUGACCUAGCAUAAUGCAAGGAGUUUCCACAUAGAGGAGAGUUGCUGAAUGCGUACUACUUCUGAGGAAAAAAGAUUAGAUCUGCCGAGAUAUGAUUAUGUCUAGGUUCAACAAAUCUGGUCAGAUAUAACUCCGAUAAAAAAUUUUGUCAUAUACAGGGUAUUUCAUACUUACUGGAUCGCCUUUCGUGAGGAAAUAGAACGGAUUAGACUGAGUAAAAAAUUAUCUACAAUUUUCACAAUAACUAACGAAAUAUUAAUUUCUAAAAAUUGCCAAAUAAAUACUAUUAUAGUAUUCACUUAGCUCACCACCAAAUGCAAGCACGCAACACGAUACAACAUACAACUGCCUAGCGCGGGGAGAUGUUUUUUUUCGCUGUUCGUGCAUUGCCAAGGCCGCUUGUAGUAAACAACUCGCAUGUCUAGCAACCUAGGACGCACGAGUCUACCAAUCACCACGUAGAAGAAAGUGGGAGAAUUGUGCGCAUCCUGGUUUGGUACUUUUCCAAUUGAUGAAAACAUCAUUGUGGUGAAAUUUUUACGCAAGAAGUUGUCCUCUUAAGAUAUAACUACAAAAGAUACGACGCAAAUACAUUUGCUAGCCAGAGAAAUACAAAAAAGUGAAAUCAUCUUUUCUUGUUAUUUUAGCUUUCAAAAAAUAAGAUG
Molecule: RNA transcript, 2042 nt
Organism: Trachymyrmex septentrionalis
Lineage: Eukaryota; Metazoa; Arthropoda; Insecta; Hymenoptera; Formicidae
Gene name: epidermal retinol dehydrogenase 2-like
Exons: 8
Source: RefSeq, a predicted model, not a curated record